UACAGAGGGUGCAAGCGUUGUUCGGAAUUAUUGGGCGUAAAGGGCGCGUAGGCGGUGCCACAAGUCACCUGUGAAAUCUCCGGGCUUAACUGGGAGGGUGCGGCGAAAACUGGAAUGCUAGAGGAUGGGAGAGGUAAGCGGAAUUCCUGGUGUAGCGGUGAAAUGCGUAGAUAUCAGGAGGAACACCUGUGGUGUAGACAGCUUACUGGACCAUUUCUGACGCUGAGACACGAAAGCGUGGGUAGCAAACAGG
This 253-nucleotide ribosomal RNA is filed under the name uncultured prokaryote. RNAcentral's name for it is "partial 16S ribosomal RNA". It matches the Rfam family "Bacterial small subunit ribosomal RNA", at positions 524 to 776 of the family's 1533-position model. The record is from RNAcentral.